UACGUAGGGUGCAAGCGUUGUCCGGAAUUAUUGGGCGUAAAGAGCUCGUAGGCGGUUUGUCGCGUCGAAUGUGAAAACCCGGGGCUCAACUCCGGGCCUGCAUUCGAUACGGGCAGACUAGAGUUCGGUAGGGGAGACUGGAAUUCCUGGUGUAGCGGUGGAAUGCGCAGAUAUCAGGAGGAACACCGAUGGCGAAGGCAGCUCGCUGGGACGGUACUGACGCUGAGGCGCGAAAGCGUGGGGAGCGAACAGG
Molecule: ribosomal RNA, 253 nt
Filed under: uncultured bacterium
Lineage: Bacteria
Description: partial 16S ribosomal RNA
Rfam family: Bacterial small subunit ribosomal RNA
Source: RNAcentral